Molecule: long non-coding RNA, 657 nt
Filed under: Homo sapiens (human)
Lineage: Eukaryota; Metazoa; Chordata; Mammalia; Primates; Hominidae
Description: HSALNT0162007
Source: RNAcentral
AAUGUCCAAAAAUGUGUGGCUUCUCUGUCUUGCCUUAGUGUGAAACUGACAGGCUGUUAUGACUCAAGCAGUCUCCCUGAAUGGACAGACAGACAAAUAGACACACAAACAAGUGGACAGUCGGUCAGCCAGUGGAUAAUCUAUUGAUGAAAAGAUCCCCUGCUGGUUGAAAUGGUCCUCUUGAUCUAACCUUCUCCAUUUCAUUAUGAGGAAUGCAAAUCCUAUCAUUGCUCUGCGACUAUUUAUCACUCUGUCUUUUCUGUCAGAGGUGCUGAAUCACUGCUCAUGCUUGCUGUUUCCUUCAGAAGGCAUUAGCAAAGAGGCUAUUUGCCUGAGAAUGUUUGAUCUGUUCUGUUUUUGCUGUCUGGUCCUCCACCACAGUAUCUGGGACCAUAAAAUGAUUCCCAAUUCUGUGCCUGAGAGAAGGUGCUCAGAUUGACUCAAGGACCAUCCAAAAGGAGAGGCUAAGGCAAUCCUGGGAGCCUGGGGGUGAAGCGUGUCAAGCUCAAAUCUCAGUGAAAUCCCAAAGAGAAGAAAUCUGCCAGAGAAGAGGAUGGAAUGGACUUGGGUAGGUCAGGCCAUAAGCUGAUGAGGUUUCAGCAAAUUUCCCAGUUAUGGAAAGGAGCAAGGAACAUCCAAGGAUAUGAGAAAGAGGGG